GUGAAUCAUCAAAUCUUUGAACGCAAAUUGCACUCUCUUCGGAGAGUAUGCCUGUUUGAGGGUCAGCCUAAAAAAAAUCGACAUCGUUGCUGUUUCGCGGUGGCGUUCGUCGGGAAGUGGGUUAUGUUAAAUCUUGGGUGUAAGCGACUGAAAAUUUUCUUUACGAUUCCAUGAACGGUUCCAAGAUUUAGUUCUUUACACGGUUAAGGUAUCGAUGUGAUUAGGCGUGGUCGUCAUAGCUGAUCAUGUCCAUAAUUUUUCGUUAACUGACCUCAGACAGGUAAGAGGAGCCGCUGAACGU
Molecule: unclassified non-coding RNA, 301 nt
Filed under: Glomus sp.
Lineage: Eukaryota; Fungi; Glomeromycota; Glomeromycetes; Glomerales; Glomeraceae
Description: partial contains 5.8S ribosomal RNA and internal transcribed spacer 2
Rfam family: 5.8S ribosomal RNA (bases 1-65)
Source: RNAcentral